CUUUACCUGAGAUCAAGUAAGAUUACCUGCUGAACUUAAGCAUAUCAGUAAGCGGAGGAAA
Molecule: ribosomal RNA, 61 nt
Filed under: Pseudocollinia beringensis
Lineage: Eukaryota; Ciliophora; Oligohymenophorea; Apostomatida; Colliniidae
Also listed under: 1 other name
Description: partial 23S ribosomal RNA
Rfam family: Eukaryotic large subunit ribosomal RNA
Source: RNAcentral